Molecule: ribosomal RNA, 433 nt
Filed under: uncultured bacterium
Lineage: Bacteria
Description: partial 16S ribosomal RNA
Rfam family: Bacterial small subunit ribosomal RNA (bases 45-433)
Source: RNAcentral
GGGGGGGGGGGGGGGGGGGGCGGGCACGGGCAGGGGGGAGGGGGGCGGCGGGGGUGGUGGCGGAGGGGGGGGGAACGCGGGGGAAGCUACCCUUAGGUUCGGAAUAGGUCCCCGAGGGGGGGGCUGAUGCCUGAUACUGUCUACGGACGACGGAUUUGUCGCCUUUGUAUGGGCCCGCGUUGGAUUAGCUAGUUGGUAGGGUAAACGCCUACCCAGGCUACGAUCCAUAGCUGGUCUGAGAGGAUGAUCAGCCACACUGGGACUGAGACACGGCCCAGACUCCUACGGGAGGCAGCAGUGGGGAAUAUUGGACAAUGGGCGAAAGCCUGAUCCAGCAAUGCCGCGUGAGUGAUGAAGGCCUUAGGGUUGUAAAGCUCUUUUACCCGGGAUGAUAAUGACAGUACCGGGAGAAUAAGCUCCGGCUAACUCCGUG